UCCAUCUUCACCAUUUUUGCUCUAAAAAGCCGAACUCAACACGUCCAUGGCUAACUUCAUGGAUUCUUCAUCAAAAUCAUUAAUUGUUGAAGCAAAACACUCCUAAUUUUAAGGUAGCCAAGUCUGUUCAAGAGCUUCCAUGGAGCAAUUUGAUGGUGAAAUUGAAUGGAAAACCUUAGGCAUAGAUACCUCAUAAAAGGUUCAAUAAGGCAACCUACUAGCGGAUAAGGAGCUCGGGGAGCUUGGAAGGCAUUGUAAUUGAUCGAAGUUAUUGGAUAGCAAGCAGUGAGUUUAUAUUUUACCGUCGAUUAUUAAUACUUGC
This is a long non-coding RNA of Mercurialis annua (annual mercury), 322 nucleotides long. RefSeq lists it as uncharacterized. Lineage: Eukaryota; Viridiplantae; Streptophyta; Magnoliopsida; Malpighiales; Euphorbiaceae. The record is from RefSeq and is a predicted model, not a curated record. The transcript has 3 exons.